AGUGAACGCUGGCGGUAGGCCUAACACAUGCAAGUCGAACGGCAGCACAGUAAGAGCUUGCUCUUACGGGUGGCGAGUGGCGGACGGGAGAGGAAUACAUCGGAAUCUACUUUUUCGUGGGGGAUAACGUAGGGAAACUUACGCUAAUACCGCAUACGACCUACGGGUGAAAGCAGGGGAUCUUCGGACCUUGCGCGAUUGAAUGAGCCGAUGUCGGAUUAGCUAGUUGGCGGGGUAAAGGCCCACCAAGGCGACGAUCCGUAGCUGGUCUGAGAGGAUGGUCAGCCACACUGGAACUGAGACACGGUCCAGACUCCUACGGGAGGCAGCAGUGGGGAAUAUUGGACAAUGGGCGCAAGCCUGAUCCAGCCAUACCGCGUGGGUGAAGAAGGCCUUCGGGUUGUAAAGCCCUUUUGUUGGGAAAGAAAAGCAGCAGGUUAAUACCCCGCUGUUCUGACGGUACCCAAAGAAUAAGCACCGGCUAACUUCGUG
Molecule: ribosomal RNA, 492 nt
Filed under: uncultured bacterium
Lineage: Bacteria
Description: partial 16S ribosomal RNA
Rfam family: Bacterial small subunit ribosomal RNA
Source: RNAcentral